This 467-nucleotide ribosomal RNA is filed under the name uncultured bacterium. Its description in RNAcentral is "partial 16S ribosomal RNA". It matches the Rfam family "Bacterial small subunit ribosomal RNA", at positions 29 to 507 of the family's 1533-position model. The record is from RNAcentral.
AUGCACGCUGGCGGCGUGCUUAACACAUGCAAGUCGAACGGAAAGGCCCAAGCUUGCUUGGGUACUCGCGUGGCGAACGGGUGAGUAACACGUGGGUGAUCUGCCCUGCACUUCGGGAUAAGCCUGGGAAACUGGGUCUAAUACUGGAUAGGACCACUUCUUGGAUGGUGUGGUGGAAAGUUUUUUCGGUGUGGGAUGAGCUCGCGGCCUAUCAGCUUGUUGGUGGGGUAAUGGCCUACCAAGGCGUCGACGGGUAGCCGGCCUGAGGGGGUGUACGGCCACAUUGGGACUGAGAUACGGCCCAGACUCCUACGGGAGGCAGCAGUGGGGAAUAUUGCACAAUGGGCGCAAGCCUGAUGCAGCGACGCCGCGUGGGGGAUGACGGCCUUCGGGUUGUAAACUCCUUUCGCUAGGGACGAAGCGUUUUUGUGACGGUACCUGGAGAAGAAGCACCGGCUAACUACGUG